Molecule: ribosomal RNA, 207 nt
Filed under: uncultured bacterium
Lineage: Bacteria
Description: partial 16S ribosomal RNA
Rfam family: Bacterial small subunit ribosomal RNA
Source: RNAcentral
GGCGCAGGCGGCCAGGUCAGUGGAAAGUGGAAGCCCGGGGCUCAACCUCGGAAGGCCUUUCCAUACUGCCUGGCUUGAGUAUGCGAGAGGAGAGCGGAAUUCCGGGUGUAGCGGUGAAAUGCUUAGAUAUCCGGAGGAACACCAAUGGCGAAAGCAGCUCUCUGGCGCAAUACUGACGCUGAGGCCCGAAAGCGUGGGGAGCGAACG